RNAcentral lists this transfer RNA (68 nucleotides) under Marmota monax (woodchuck). RNAcentral describes it as "tRNA.Ala". The record is from RNAcentral. Lineage: Eukaryota; Metazoa; Chordata; Mammalia; Rodentia; Sciuridae.
GCUGUGGCUCAGUGAUAGAGCGCUUGCCUAGCAUGUGUGAGGCACUGGGUUUGAUCCUCAGCACUGCA